Molecule: ribosomal RNA, 497 nt
Filed under: uncultured bacterium
Lineage: Bacteria
Description: partial 16S ribosomal RNA
Rfam family: Bacterial small subunit ribosomal RNA
Source: RNAcentral
GAUGAACGCUGGCGGCGUGCCUAAUACAUGCAAGUCGAGCGAACGGACGAGAAGCUUGCUUCUCUGACGUUAGCGGCGGACGGGUGAGUAACACGUGGAUAACCCACCUAUAAGACUGGGAUAACUUCGGGACACCGGAGCUAAUACCGGAUAAUAUUUUGAACCGCAUGGUUCAAUAGUGAAAGACGGUCUUGCUGUCACUUAUAGAUGGAUCCGCGCUGCAUUAGCUAGUUGGUAAGGUAACGGCUUACCAAGGCAACGAUGCAUAGCCGACCUAAGGGAGUGGUCGGCCACACUAGAACUGAGCCACGGUCCAGACUCCUACGGGAGGCAGCAGUAGGGAAUCUUCCGCAGUAGGCGAGAGCCUGACGGAGCGACGCCGCGUGAGUGAUGAAAGUCUUCGGAUCGUAAAACUCUGUUAUUAGGGAAGAACAUAUGUGUAAGUAACUGUGCACAUCUUGACGGUACCUAGUCAGAAAGCCACGGCUAACUACGUG